CGGUAGCUAAUACCGCAUAACGUCGCAAGACCAAAGUGGGGGACCUUCCGGCCUCAUGCCAUCAGAUGUGCCCAGAUGGGAUUAGCUAGUAGGUGGGGUAACGGCUCACCUAGGCUACUAUCCCUAGCUGGUCUGAGAGUAUGACCAGCCACACUGGAACUGAGACACGGUCCAGACUCCUACGGGAGGCAGCAGUGGGUAAUUUUGCACAAUUGGCGCAAGCCUGAUGUAUCCAUGCCGCGUGUGUGAAGAAUGCCUUCGGGUUGUAAGCACUUUCAGCGGGAAGAAAGGCGUUAAAUUUAAUAACCUUGUCUAUUGACGUUUACCCGCAGAAAAAGCACCGGCUUAACUCCGUGCCAGCAGCCGCGCUAAUACGGAAGGUGCUUCCGUUAUUCGGAAUUAUUAGCGUAAAGCGUACGCAGGUUGUCUGUAAAGUCGGAUGUGAAAUUCCCCCUGGUUCAACCUGGGAACUGCUUUCAAAACUGUGAAGGCUUAGAGUUCUUGUUUAGGGGGGGGUAGAAAUUCCAGGGUGU
RNAcentral lists this ribosomal RNA (533 nucleotides) under Klebsiella pneumoniae. RNAcentral's name for it is "bacterial SSU rRNA". It matches the Rfam family "Bacterial small subunit ribosomal RNA", at positions 157 to 678 of the family's 1533-position model. The record is from RNAcentral. Lineage: Bacteria; Pseudomonadati; Pseudomonadota; Gammaproteobacteria; Enterobacterales; Enterobacteriaceae.